RNAcentral lists this ribosomal RNA (800 nucleotides) under uncultured bacterium. RNAcentral describes it as "bacterial SSU rRNA". It matches the Rfam family "Bacterial small subunit ribosomal RNA", at positions 8 to 803 of the family's 1533-position model. The record is from RNAcentral.
AGAGUUUGAUCCUGGCUCAGAACGAACGCUGGCGGCGCGCCUAAUACAUGCAAGUCGAGCGAGAAGACGUAGCAAUACGUUUGUAAAGCGGCGAACGGGUGAGGAAUACAUGGGUAACCUACCCUCGAGUGGGGAAUAACUAACCGAAAGGUUAGCUAAUACCGCAUACGACUCCUGGUCUGCGGAUCGGGAGGGAAAGCGAUACCGUGGGUAUCGCGCUCUUGGAUGGGCUCAUGUCCUAUCAGCUUGUUGGUGAGGUAACGGCUCACCAAGGCUUCGACGGGUAGCUGGUCUGAGAGGACGAUCAGCCACACUGGCACUGCGACACGGGCCAGACUCCUACGGGAGGCAGCAGUAAGGAAUAUUGCGCAAUGGGCGACAGCCUGACGCAGCGACGCCGCGUGGGGGAUGAAGGUCUUCGGAUUGUAAACCCCUUUCGGCAGGGAAGAUGGAACGGGUAACCGUUCGGACGGUACCUGCAGAAGCAGCCACGGCUAACUUCGUGCCAGCAGCCGCGGUAAUACGAAGGUGGCAAGCGUUGUUCGGAUUUACUGGGCGUACAGGGAGCGUAGGCGGUUGGGUAAGCCCUCCGUGAAAUCUCCGGGCCUAACCCGGAAAGUGCGGAGGGGACUGCUCGGCUAGAGGAUGGGAGAGGAGCGCGGAAUUCCCGGUGUAGCGGUGAAAUGCGUAGAGAUCGGGAGGAAGGCCGGUGGCGAAGGCGGCGCUCUGGAACAUUUCUGACGCUGAGGCUCGAAAGCGUGGGAGCAAACAGGAUUAGAUACCCUGGUAGUCCACGCCUU